CUACGGGAGGCUCCAGCAAGGAAUAUUGUGCAAUGGGCGAAAGCCUGACACAGCGACGCCGCGUGAGGGAAGAAGGCCUUCGGGUUGUAAACCCCUUUUCUUGGGGAAGAAUAAUGACGGUACCUGAGGAAGAAGUCACGGCUAACUACGUGCCAGCAGCCGCGGUAAUACGUAGGUGGCAAGCGUUAUCCGGAUUUACUGGGUGUAAAGAGGGCGCGGGCGGCUUUUCAAGUCGAAUAUAAAAUCUCCCGGCUGAACUGGGAGGGAUUAUUCGAUACUGUUGGGCUAGAGAGCAGCAGGGGGAGGUGGAAUUCCCGGUGUAGUGGUGAAAUGCGUAGAUAUCGGGAGGAACACCAGUGGCGAAGGCGGCCUCCUGGGCUGUUGCUGACGCUGAGGCCCGAAAGCGUGGGGAGCAAACAGGAUUAGAUACCCGUGUAGUC
Molecule: ribosomal RNA, 440 nt
Filed under: uncultured bacterium
Lineage: Bacteria
Description: partial 16S ribosomal RNA
Rfam family: Bacterial small subunit ribosomal RNA
Source: RNAcentral